This 221-nucleotide ribosomal RNA is filed under the name uncultured fungus. Its description in RNAcentral is "partial small subunit ribosomal RNA". The stretch from base 109 to 221 matches the Rfam family "Eukaryotic small subunit ribosomal RNA", at positions 751 to 864 of the family's 1831-position model. The record is from RNAcentral. Lineage: Eukaryota; Fungi.
UAGAAAUAUUGUUUAUGUUUGAUUUCGAAAUGAAUAUCAAUUAAACUAUUUCUAUUCUAUUAUUAGCACUAUCCGUUAUUAAUUUAAUAGAUAGUUUGUUAAUAAUGUUUUACUGUGAGUAAAAUAGAGUGUUCAAAGCAGGCUUAUGCCGUUGAAUACGUUAGCAUGGAAUAAUAAGAUAAGACCUUGUUUUUAUUUUGUUGGUUUAAGAAAUUAGUGUA